UUGGCCUAAAUAUGUCGAAAUUUUCUUAACUAAAAAAAUGCAGUUUGUGAUAUGCCAAAACUCAUAAUUACUUCAAAAAUGUUUAUCUUUAGUUGUAUUUUUCACCCAUAGAGGUCGCCAUUCUUUCACCAGUGGGUUGAUGACUCGUUUUUUCACCUGUUCUGUACUGGAAUCUACAGAGUAAACACAGCAAGCUUAACUUUACCCGAGUUUAUCAGAUUGUGUUUGAAUGGUGUAAUUUUAGAUAAUACCACACUGUGUCACUGUUGGCUGUAAGUCAAACAAACAAAAACUGGUGAGUGGAUAAGUUUCCAUAUGUACAAAAAGAAAAGCCACAGCCGAACAGAACUUACAAAGGGCCUAUUUGGCCCUCAACAUUUCUGUCCAAAAGACUUGGAGUCACUUGUAUGAGCAAAACUGAGGAAGGCUCUAACAGCUGUUUCUGGGCCGGACAUGGAGGUAUGGCUGCGUCCUCUGGUCGGAUCACACAGUCCUACACCUCUGGUACCACGGGUACAUGUCGCUCAUCGUUUCAUUUAUGAAGCUGAAGGCAGCAGCAGCUCCUAUGUCCAACCCUCCCCUUCCUCUGUUUGGUCCUCAUCAUCAUCAUCACUCCAUGUCAUUUCUCCAUUCCAAUCGAUUUCAACGCGCCGAUUCAGUUUGAAAAGACUAAAAGACGUUAGUAUCACUGUUUGGCUGGACAGAGCUAGUUUGACCAUCAGGCGACAUUCGUGUGAAAAUAUUUUAUUCAAAUUAAGAACUAAACAGCCUUCAUUAUUACUACUGUAUUGUUUAUACAUGUAAAAUAAAUAUUUCUUUAGUUUAUUGUUACUAA
Long non-coding RNA from Xiphophorus hellerii (green swordtail), 835 nucleotides. RefSeq lists it as uncharacterized. The transcript has 2 exons. The record is from RefSeq and is a predicted model, not a curated record. NCBI's taxonomy places the organism in Eukaryota, Metazoa, Chordata, Actinopteri, Cyprinodontiformes, Poeciliidae.